GAUGAACGCUGGCGGCGUGCCUAAUACAUGCAAGUCGAGCGAACAGACGAGGAGCUUGCUCCUCUGACGUUAGCGGCGGACGGGUGAGUAACACGUGGAUAACCUACCUAUAAGACUGGGAUAACUUCGGGAAACCGGAGCUAAUACCGGAUAACAUGUUGAACCGCAUGGUUCAACAGUGAAAGACGGUCUUGCUGUCACUUAUAGCUGGAUCCGCGCCGCAUUAGCUAGUUGGUAAGGUAACGGCUUACCAAGGCAACGAUGCGUAGCUGACCUGAGAGGGUGAUCGGCCACACUGGAACUGAGACACGGUCCAGACUCCUACGGGAGGCAGCAGUAGGGAAUCUUGCGCAAUGGGCGAAAGCCUGACGGAGCAACGCCGCGUGAGUGAAGAAGGUCUUCGGAUCGUAAAACUCUGUUAUUAGGGAAGAACAAAUGUGUAAGUAACUAUGCACGUCUUGACGGUACCUAAUCAGAAAGCCACGGCUAACUACGUG
Molecule: ribosomal RNA, 497 nt
Filed under: uncultured bacterium
Lineage: Bacteria
Description: partial 16S ribosomal RNA
Rfam family: Bacterial small subunit ribosomal RNA
Source: RNAcentral